AUUCUUUUCUCAUUCGUUUCAAUUCGCUCGACUGCCAUGUUCGUAAAUCGCGAUUUAGUGAAGUUAGUCGCGUAAAAUCUUUUAAUUUUUUGUUUAAAAGGUAAAUAUCGCUAAUUAAAACCUCUGAUAAAAUGUUUAUUAAAUGUUCGAUGUGUGUGUAUUAAUUUAACCAAUUGGCGUUGAUUCCGAAUCCAUAAAAACAAAGUGAAAAUCCUGAGGGAAAGAAUUUUCACCUGAAAUGACAGUGAAAAAUCAGAAAUCUCUACGUCGACAACGAGCAAACACCGUUGUACUACAAAUAAGCGGGCGCGUCGCGCAGGCAAUCAGGCCAGGCCGUCAGUCAGUCAGCCAGCGAGUCAGUCAGUUGUUGAAGCGAUUAGAAAACCUGCAAUAAAAAUCAAAAUCAGCUGAAAUUUUUCAGUCACAACACACCCAAACGCCCAUAUUUCCACGCUACAAGCACACACAACUUGACAACAAAAAAAAAAUAAAAAUUUCCAGCUGGCAUCGGCGCGGUCAACAACAACGACGACAUAACGAUGAUGUACGAAUAAAUGUACGUAAAGACAUGCACGGCAAGUAUA
This is a long non-coding RNA of Rhagoletis zephyria (snowberry fruit fly), 584 nucleotides long. RefSeq lists it as uncharacterized. Lineage: Eukaryota; Metazoa; Arthropoda; Insecta; Diptera; Tephritidae. The record is from RefSeq and is a predicted model, not a curated record.